This is a long non-coding RNA of Cygnus atratus (black swan), 343 nucleotides long. RefSeq lists it as uncharacterized. The transcript is spliced from 3 exons. Lineage: Eukaryota; Metazoa; Chordata; Aves; Anseriformes; Anatidae. The record is from RefSeq and is a predicted model, not a curated record.
AAUCAGCGCCCGGAGAGGUGCGAGAGAACGCAUCCAGCGAGACGCCCGGCGGGGCGAUUCACUGAGUCUUGUCAGCUCCUCCCCAAAAGGUGGAGUUUCUCAGGAGAUUCUCAUUAAGAGGGAGAGAGAAGAGGAAGGUGCCCCUACUUGGAAGGGUUUCCUGAGCUUGCUGUAGAGGGAAACACCCCAAGCAGAGAGGAGACAGUGUGUAACUGUUAUCACAGCUGCUAUUUACAGUCUUUAUGAAACAUGAUGCAUCAGGAGCCUUGAAGAAUCAAGCACCCAGAGGAUAAACUACUUUGAUACCUGUUGUAUCUAUAUUGGCUGAUGUGCUGGACUCUGG